Molecule: ribosomal RNA, 775 nt
Filed under: uncultured Neocallimastigales
Lineage: Eukaryota; Fungi; Neocallimastigomycota; Neocallimastigomycetes; Neocallimastigales
Description: partial large subunit ribosomal RNA
Rfam family: Eukaryotic large subunit ribosomal RNA
Source: RNAcentral
UAUCUCUGUAGAGUCUGCAUAUCAAUAAGCGGAGGAAAAGAAACUAACAAGGAUUCCCUUAGUAACGGCGAGUGAAGCGGGAAGAGCUCAAAUUUGAAAUCUUCAAGGUUCUACCUUGACGAAUUGUAGUUUAAAGAAGUGUUUUCUGUUAGAUGAGUAGCAAAAGUUCCUUGGAAUGGGACAUCAUAGAGGGUGAGAAUCCCGUAUUUGGUUAUUCAUUCUAGCUUUGUGAUACACUUUCAAAGAGUCGGAUUGUUUGGGAAUGCAGUCCAAAAUGGGUGGUAAAUUUCAUCUAAAGCUAAAUAUUGGCGAGAGACCGAUAGCGAACAAGUACCGUGAGGGAAAGAUGAAAAGAACUUUGAAAAGAGAGUUAAACAGUACGUGAAAUUGUCAAAAGGGAAGCGUUUGACACCAGUGUUGUUUUUCCGAAAAUCAAUUACGAAUGGCUUGAUUUUGUGUUGUAUUGACCUUAUCAGCUUUCUUCACUUUUUUCGAGUCUUUCUGAAUGCACUUUUUCGGUUAACAAGUCAACAUCAAUUUCUUUUGUUGUAAAAGAGUAUUCGGAAGGUGGCUUUCUUUUCGGAGAAAGUGUUUAUAGCCCUAUACUUCUACAAUCGGAGAGAUUGAGGUCUGCAGCGUAGAUCCUUCGGGGUUAGAUACACUUGUGCUAAGUUGUAGCUUUUCAUAGACAACUUGUUGACUAUGUUUAGUCAUGCGGCUUACUCGCUUGUGCUAUUUUACCUACGCUUAGGAUGUUGACUGAUAUGUAGUCGUA